Molecule: non-coding RNA, 73 nt
Organism: Budorcas taxicolor (takin)
Lineage: Eukaryota; Metazoa; Chordata; Mammalia; Artiodactyla; Bovidae
Source: the annotation of a RefSeq genome assembly
CCUUUGAUAGCUCAGUUGGUAGAGCGGAGGACUGUAGAUCCUUAGGUCGCUGGUUCGAAUCCGGCUCAAAGGA